CACGUAGGGCGCAAGCGUUGUCCGGAAUUAUUGGGCGUAAAGAGCUCGUAGGCGGUCUGUUGCGUCCGCUGUGAAAACCCGGGGCUUAACCCUGGGCUGGCAGUGGAUACGGGCAGACUGGAGGUAUGCAGGGGAGAACGGAAUUCCUGGUGUAGCGGUGAAAUGCGCAGAUAUCAGGAGGAACACCGGUGGCGAAGGCGGUUCUCUGGGCAUUACCUGACGCUGAGGAGCGAAAGUGUGGGGAGCGAACAGG
Molecule: ribosomal RNA, 253 nt
Filed under: uncultured bacterium
Lineage: Bacteria
Description: partial 16S ribosomal RNA
Rfam family: Bacterial small subunit ribosomal RNA
Source: RNAcentral